Molecule: ribosomal RNA, 259 nt
Filed under: uncultured Bacteroides sp.
Lineage: Bacteria; Pseudomonadati; Bacteroidota; Bacteroidia; Bacteroidales; Bacteroidaceae
Description: partial 16S ribosomal RNA
Rfam family: Bacterial small subunit ribosomal RNA
Source: RNAcentral
UAAGGCCGAUGGCGACCGGCGCACGGGUGAGUAACACGUAUCCAACCUGCCGUCUACUCUUGGACAGCCUUCUGAAAGGAAGAUUAAUACAAGAUGGCAUCAUGAGUCCGCAUGUUCACAUGAUUAAAGGUAUUCCGGUAGACGAUGGGGAUGCGUUCCAUUAGAUAGUAGGCGGGGUAACGGCCCACCAAGGCGACGAUCAGUAGCUGGUCUGAGAGGACGAUCAGCCACACUGGGACUGAGACACGGCCCAGACUCC